RNAcentral lists this ribosomal RNA (265 nucleotides) under uncultured bacterium. Its description in RNAcentral is "partial 16S ribosomal RNA". It matches the Rfam family "Bacterial small subunit ribosomal RNA", at positions 42 to 305 of the family's 1533-position model. The record is from RNAcentral.
GCAUGCCUAACACAUGCAAGUCGAACGGUAACAGGCCUAGCUUGCUAGGUGCUGACGAGUGGCGGACGGGUGAGUAAUGCGUAGGAAUCUGCCCUAUAGUGGGGGAAAACUCGGGGAAACUCGGGCUAAUACCGCAUAAUCCCUUCGGGGGAAAGCGGGGGACCUUCGGGCCUCGUGCUAUUGGAUGAGCCUACGUCAGAUUAGCUUGUUGGUAGGGUAAAGGCCUACCAAGGCGAUGAUCUGUAGCUGGUCUGAGAGGAUGACC